RNAcentral lists this ribosomal RNA (253 nucleotides) under uncultured bacterium. RNAcentral's name for it is "partial 16S ribosomal RNA". It matches the Rfam family "Bacterial small subunit ribosomal RNA", at positions 524 to 776 of the family's 1533-position model. The record is from RNAcentral.
UACAUAGGUCUCAAGCGUUGUUCGGAUUCAUUGGGCGUAAAGGGUGCGUAGGCGGCGCGGUAAGUCGGGUGUGAAAUCUUGGAGCUUAACUCCGAAACUGCAUUCGAUACUGCCGUGCUUGAGGACUGGAGAGGAGACUGGAAUUUACGGUGUAGCGGUGAAAUGCGUAGAUAUCGUAAGGAAGACCAGUGGCGAAGGCGGGUCUCUGGACAGUUCCUGACGCUGAGGCACGAAGGCCAGGGGAGCAAACGGG